UACAGAGGUCCCGAGCGUUGUUCGGAUUCACUGGGCGUAAAGGGUGCGUAGGUGGCUUUGCAAGUCUGAUGUGAAAUCUCCGGGCUUAACCCGGAAAUGGCAUUAGAAACUGUGAGGCUUGAGGCUUGGAGGGGGAACUGGAAUUCUCGGUGUAGCAGUGAAAUGCGUAGAGAUCGAGAGGAACACCAGCGGCGAAGGCGGCGACCUGGGUAGAUACUGACGCUGAGGUGCGAAAGCGUGGGGAGCAAACAGG
Molecule: ribosomal RNA, 253 nt
Filed under: uncultured bacterium
Lineage: Bacteria
Description: partial 16S ribosomal RNA
Rfam family: Bacterial small subunit ribosomal RNA
Source: RNAcentral